GCUCCAGUGGCGCAGUGGUAGCGCUUCGUGCUUAUAGUCUUGUCUGACAAUGGCUAUGCCAACGUCACGGUCGUGUGAGGAACGCGAUGGUCGUGGGUUCAAACCCCUCCUGGAGCA
This 117-nucleotide transfer RNA is filed under the name Metschnikowia bicuspidata. It matches the Rfam family "tRNA". Rfam says of the family: Transfer RNA (tRNA) molecules are approximately 80 nucleotides in length. Their secondary structure includes four short double-helical elements and three loops (D, anti-codon, and T loops). Further hydrogen bonds mediate the characteristic L-shaped molecular structure. tRNAs have two regions of fundamental functional importance: the anti-codon, which is responsible for specific mRNA codon recognition, and the 3' end, to which the tRNAs corresponding amino acid is attached (by aminoacyl-tRNA synthetases). tRNAs cope with the degeneracy of the genetic code in two manners: having more than one tRNA (with a specific anti-codon) for a particular amino acid; and 'wobble' base-pairing, i.e. permitting non-standard base-pairing at the 3rd anti-codon position. The record is from Rfam by way of RNAcentral. Lineage: Eukaryota; Fungi; Ascomycota; Pichiomycetes; Serinales; Metschnikowiaceae.